CUUGCUCCUUUGACGUUAGCGGCGGACGGGUGAGUAACACGUGGAUAACCUACCUAUAAGACUGGGAUAACUUCGGGAAACCGGAGCUAAUACCGGAUAACAUAUUGAACCGCAUGGUUCAAUAGUGAAAGGCGGCUUUGCUGUCACUUAUAGAUGGAUCCGCGCCGUAUUAGCUAGUUGGUAAGGUAACGGCUUACCAAGGCAACGAUACGUAGCCGACCUGAGAGGGUGAUCGGCCACACUGGAACUGAGACACGGUCCAGACUCCUACGGGAGGCAGCAGUAGGGAAUCUUCCGCAAUGGGCGAAAGCCUGACGGAGCAACGCCGCGUGAGUGAUGAAGGUCUUCGGAUCGUAAAACUCUGUUAUCAGGGAAGAACAAAUGUGUAAGUAACUGUGCACAUCUUGACGGUACCUGAUCAGAAAGCCACGGCUAACUACGUGCCAGCAGCCGCGGUAAUACGUAGGUGGCAAGCGUUAUCCGGAAUUAUUGGGCGUAAAGCGCGCGUAGGCGGUUUUUUAAGUCUGAUGUGAAAGCCCACGGCUCAACCGUGGAGGGUCAUUGGAAACUGGAAAACUUGAGUGCAGAAGAGGAAAGUGGAAUUCCAUGUGUAGCGGUGAAAUGCGCAGAGAUAUGGAGGAACACCAGUGGCGAAGGCGACUUUCUGGUCUGUAACUGACGCUGAUGUGCGAAAGCGUGGGGAUCAAACAGGAUUAGAUACCCUGGUAGUCCACGCCGUAAACGAUGAGUGCU
RNAcentral lists this ribosomal RNA (753 nucleotides) under Staphylococcus warneri. Its description in RNAcentral is "bacterial SSU rRNA". It matches the Rfam family "Bacterial small subunit ribosomal RNA", at positions 79 to 817 of the family's 1533-position model. The record is from RNAcentral. Lineage: Bacteria; Bacillati; Bacillota; Bacilli; Caryophanales; Staphylococcaceae.